CGAUAACUUGUUAGAUUGGUCAUUAUUUUCAACAGAAAUCCCUGUGAUUGGCUACAAUACAACACUGAGUUUCUUCAUGUUGUAAAGAGACACAUUAGCAGCUCCGUUGAUCUCACAUACAAAUUUAUUCAAAACAUAAUGGAACAAAAAUAUAAUGAAUAUGUAUUAUGGUGUAUAUAUUUAGCAAAAUGCUCCUCUCUAGAGUUAACUUUUUACCUGACUAACGAGUUUGUGGUCACUGAAUGGCUUUUCUGAGAGGAAGAGAUGAUCAGUUAACGCGCGCUUCGCCCUGCUGCUUCGCUUGAUCUGAUCUGAGGCGGGAACAGCGAUCUUCACGUCAUUUUAAAGAGCGCCACAACGGUCUCAACAGCACGGCUGUGGCGCCAUGGCUGCUGCUUGACAUGAACCCUGGGUGAAUCACCACAAAUUAAAGCACAUUCUAGUCACAUGCUCCAAAAAUGAGGAUUAUCAAAUGCAGACUCACAGCCUGUCUUCUGCUCUAAGGGCACCUGUGUCUUUUUGUAAGUAACUUUGCUCAGGGAGAGCCUAUUCAGGCACAUCUGGUCUGCUGAGGAGUUCUGAUAAAGACCAGCGUGAUUUCAAAGGGAGAUAAAACCCCUGAGAAUUGCAGUGCGCUCAAAGACCCGACAGUCCUCUUUACCCCCAGGGUGACUUCAGCCCCGGCACCCGCUGUCACGCCAUUAUGAGAGCAGAUUCUUUAUAAUUGCCCAUUCCAGAAAUGGCAGAUAAGAUGAUAUUGUCCAGCCCCACGGGACUGUUAAUCUAUGGCUGCCGAAAAAUGGGCUUGUGUAUAAAACCUGUGAAAUAAAUAGUGUGACAUCUGUCAGGAUGCAAGCGACUUUGAAUGCUUUCGGGUUUCUGAAGAGCAAAGGCUUUUGAAGAGUUGAGAUUCACACAGGCUGCCCACUAUAUGAAUAAAAUGAACAACAUUCAUACAAAUGUUCAAGGGUAAACACAUAAACAUGCACAUCUGAAGAGACAUGGCAGGGGCAAAAAGGAUCUCUGAUUAAUUAUGCGGCUUGUAUCAAGCAUGUAGCAGAAAUGAAACGCAUGAGAGAAGCCUGUCAGACUCAAUACAUCUCUGCUCUAGUGCCUGUUUUUACAUUUAUUCAUAGAGGAAAGACAUAAGGGUCAUUCUACACUAAUACAUGUGCCAUCCCUUUCCAACAUCUCCUUACUGUAUCAACAAAUGUGCACAUCAUUUUGAUACUAUAUAUAUUUUAUAUUCCAUACUAUAUUUUUAGAUUUUAGUUAGAAUAAUACAUUAUUUAUAGGACUAAAAUUCAACCCUGUUACAAUCAU
This is a long non-coding RNA of Megalobrama amblycephala (Wuchang bream), 1323 nucleotides long. RefSeq lists it as uncharacterized. Lineage: Eukaryota; Metazoa; Chordata; Actinopteri; Cypriniformes; Xenocyprididae. The record is from RefSeq and is a predicted model, not a curated record. The transcript has 4 exons.